AACGAACGCUGGCGGCAGGCCUAACACAUGCAAGUCGAACGGGACCUUCGGGUCUAGUGGCGGACGGGUGAGUAACGCGUGGGAACGUGCCCUUUGGUUCGGAAUAGCCCCGGGAAACUGGGAGUAAUACCGGAUAAGCCCUACGGGGGAAAGAUUUAUCGCCAAAGGAUCGGCCCGCGUUGGAUUAGGUAGUUGGUGAGUUAAUGGCUCACUAAGCCGACGAUCCAUAGCUGGUUUGAGAGGAUGAUCAGCCACACUGGGACUGGGGCACGGCCCAGACUCCUACGGGAGGCAGCAGUGGGGAAUCUUAGACAAUGGGGGAAACCCUGAUCUAGCCAUGCCGCGUGAUCGAUGAAGGCCUUAGGGUUGUAAAGAUCUUUCAGUGGGGAAGAUAAUGACUGUACCCACAGAAGAAGCCCCGGCUAACUCCGUGCCAGCCGCCGCGGUAA
This 449-nucleotide ribosomal RNA is filed under the name uncultured bacterium. RNAcentral's name for it is "partial 16S ribosomal RNA". It matches the Rfam family "Bacterial small subunit ribosomal RNA", at positions 29 to 523 of the family's 1533-position model. The record is from RNAcentral.